GACAACCCGUGUGGAGCAAGUUUGUAAGUCUAUGGGCUGUAAGGUGAUAAAAGUGAAGCCCCUUUCAGAAGAAGAGGCAUUGAUACUAUUCUUGAGUGAAGUUGGACCUAACAUAGUGCAGAAUCAAACUUUAAUGCCAACUUUGAAGCUUGUUGUCAAGGAAUGUGCAGGUCUGCCUCUUACAAUUGUCGUCAUAGCUGGUACAUUGAGAGGAGAAGAUGACCCUCUUAUUUGGAAAAACACACUCAGGGAAUUGAAAGAGAGAAUAUGGAAAGUGAAAGAAGGGGAAGAUAAAGUGAUCGAGAGUUUGAAAGUUAGCUUCAAUCACUUAAAAGACGAGAAAAUGAAGCAUUGUUUCUUACAUUGCGCAUUAUAUCCUGAAGAUUUUCAAAUUGGGAAGGAUGGGCUAAUUGAGUGCUGGAUUGAAGAGGGAUUCAUAGAUGAUAUGAGUACAAGACAAGAAAUGAAAGAUAAGGGCCAUGUUAUUUUGAAGAAAUUAGAAGAUAAUUGCUUGUUGGAAAAUGUUUCGAGUGAAAGAGUAAAAAUGCAUGAUGCAGUGAGAGACAUGGCAUUGUCGAUCACAAGAAUGAAUCCUCGAUGUAUGAUACAAGCAGGUUCGCAAUUAGAAGAGUUACCAGAAAAGGUGCAGUGGAGUCCGGAUAUUGAGAAAGUGUCACUUAUGUAUAACUCCAUAUCAGAAAUUUCCACAGAUGUGCUGCCCACAAAAUGUCAACUGCUCACAACCUUGUUAUUGCAGCAUAACCCUAUAAAGAAGAUCCCGUAUUCUUUCUUCAUAAACAUGCCCUGUCUUUGUGUCCUAAAUUUGUCCUAUACGGUGAUCGAGAGUUUACCAAAUUCCAUCUCUGAACUAAAGAACCUCACAACAUUGUUGCUUUCUGGCUGUUCUGGAUUAAGAGAUCUGCCUUGUCUUUCGAUGCUUCAAGAAUUGAAGAAGUUGGAUCUUUCUGGGACUAUAAUUGAGGAAGUCCCUGAAGGAAUGGAUAUGCUGAUAAAGCUAAGAUAUCUUGAUCUUAGAGUGCGCACUCUGAAAGAGAUACCCGCUGGACUUUUACCAAAACUAGUUCACCUUCAGCACUUGGGUUUUUAUGAGAACAAUGAAAAAACAAGUCUAAAAGCAGAGGAGAUGGAACCAUUGAAGAAGUUGGAGUGCUUUACCGGACGUUUCGAAAACAUCAAUGAAUUCAAUAAGUUCAUCUCCUCAAUGCAACAAAGUAAGAAAAAUCUCAUCAAUUACCAUUUACAGGUGGGCUCAUAUAAUAGUGUGGAUUGUGAAAGGGGUAAAAGAGUAUCAAUUGGAGGAGUCCAGAAUUGGGAAGGUGAGUUAAUUAUGCACCCAAUUGAAAUUCAAGAGUUGAAUAUUGUAAAGUGCGACUAUUUGAGAAGCUUAGUCGAUGACAAUUCUUCCUUCAAAAAUGCGAUUGACUUGAGGGUUUGUUGGAUUUGGGGGUGUGAAGGGAUAGAGUGUGUUGUUUCCCUGUCCUCUUUUGCCUCUUCUUCCGCUCAUCCAUUUCAGAGCCUCGAGGUGUUGGGUCUUUAUGAUCUGCCAAAGUUGAGUGCCCUUAUUAUGAAAGAUGAAGGAAUUGGUUCAGCAACAACAUCAACAUUGGCUCCGUCUGCCACCUUUUCCCAUCUCAAGGAAAUUACGAUAUUCAAAUGCUCAAGGAUGAAGACGUUGCCUCCACAUUGGUUGCUUCCAAACCUCCAAAACCUGGAAGAAAUAUCAGUGUCACACUGUGAUAAGGUAGUAGAAAUAUUGGGAGCAGCACCAUCAGAAGUUGAAGAAAAAGGGAGUGAUGCAUUAAUCAAAUUCCAUCUUCCCAAAUUGAGACAAUUGAGACUACGUACGUUACCAAAUUUGAAGAGCAUUUGCAGCAAAAGUGGAGUCAUGGUUUGUGAUUCUCUCCAACUUAUCCUGAUUAUUAAUUGUCAUAAACUGAAGAGAAUUCCUCCAUUUGUUCCCCUUGUUGGGAAUGGGCAGCCAUUUGCAUAUGCUCCACCUUCUCUUACCAUCAGGUCAAGCACAAAAUGGUGGGAAUCGUUGGAGUGGGAUGACCAUCCAAACUUUAAAAAUGUUCUCAAGCAUGAAAGGUAGGAACCAUUUAUAGUUAGUUUAUUUUUUUUAUUUUUAUAAAUCUAAUUUCUCCAUUUUAAUAAAAUUUCAGAUGAAUUUGGUGAUGUUGUUGAAGAGAAAGAUAAAAGGGUUGGUGGGAAAGAAGUAGGGGGGAGGAUUGUGCAAAAGAGUGGAGAAAAGGAAUGAUGGAAGAGCAUGGAGACUGAGAAGCAAAGGUAAAUAAGAGAUCAAACUGUCUCCACUUUGUAAACAUUGUCCCUCUCUUACCAUUCCUUCUGUUCUCUUUUUCGUAUAAUGUAAAAGUUAUGUCAAGUAACUGAAGAGGUAAAAAACAAAUAAAUUUGCUUAAUAUUUUUUCUAUGUUUGUUUUGAAAGAAUGAGUAUUGAAUAUGGAUAAUAUAGAGAAAUUUUGUAGGGUUUAAAAAAAAGUAUCAAGAUGAAAAAAAAUAUAUAAUUUAAAUGUCAAUUGAUAAAUUAAGUGUAUUCAAAAUAAUGGUAUUUUAGAUAGCAAAGGUAUUGAAAAUUUAAAGUGAUAAAUUACCUUUUUAUCAUUAUAAAUAAAUACCAUAAUUUCUUUUUAUGCUGAAAAAAAAUUUGAAAAUUUAUGUUGUUUUCUUGAAAAUUUAUCAAUUUAUAUUGUUUUUUUACAAAUAGAAAGGAAAACGCGUCUUAUAUGACAUGUUUUCUCUGAUCUUCCAGAGAAAACAUGAGACGCGUUUUAUUAUCUUUCCUAAAAAGCGCUCUGUAAGAGCAACUAAGGACAAUGAAUCACGACGUUCAUGUCUUUCGUCAAUUGUGCAUAAUUUUGAUUGGUACAAUAACACAUUUAGCCCUUGAUGUUUACAUAUUUUGUUAGUUUGGUCUUGAUUCUAAAAAAAAAUCAACAAAUUCAGUCUCAACAUUUACACAUUUACAAAAAUAUGACGGGCUAAUUUUGUUAUCAUAUCAAUCAAAUUUAUGUAAAGUUGAUGAAAAACAUUAAUAUUGUGAUUAAUUGCUCACUUUCAAAAUUGGUAGGGAUUAAAUUGCUUCGAUUUUUUUGGAGGGAGCAAUUUGCUGAAUAUCAAAAUUGAGAGGCACUAGAGAGGUCAUUUUACCUAGUUUAAUAAUUAAAUGACAUGUUAAAUCUUAUGUGACAUAAUUUAAAAUGAAAAUUAAAAAAAUGUAGAAAUAGUUGUUUUAAAAAUCUAGGUUUUGAAGUUUUUACAAAAUUUUUAUUGUUCAUUUUUUUUAAAAUUUCAGUUUUAUUUAAUUUUAGUUUCUUUAAAAUUUUUAUUUUAAAAUUAGCUAUAUAAAAUUUAACGUGUCAUUUAAUGAUUUUAAUAAUAAAAUGAUAUGAUUAAUAUAACAUCAAUAGUUUAGAAAUGUAAUUAGAUCAGUUUGAAGUUUGAAAAUAGAUUUAAAAUAAUGGUCAAAAUUUAGGGGUGGUUGAUGUAAUUAACUCAUUUCUAAUGGUGCUAAUAAUUAAGUCUGCUAUAGGACAAAGUGAAAAAGUGGAAAGCAGAGUUAAAAUAUAAUUGCAUAAUAUAUGGAUGGGGCCAUUACCAAACGAUGAAGCAAAAGAAAUGAAGGGCCAUCAUACUUUUAUUUAGAAAUUUUAUAAAUUUUAGUUGUUAAACAUGUCAAGUAAUUUGAUUUGGUGUGGUGGUUAAGUGCCUUGAAUGUUUGCUUUGGGUCUUGGGUUCAAUUUUUUUGUUAAAUUUUUCCUAUUUAUAUUAUGUUGAACUUGAGCCUUAGGUCUUAUCUCUUAUUUUCAAUGAUGAAUCUGGUAAGAGUUUAGCUUAUCACCAAUUUAAAUUUUAUAAAAUCUGGUAAGUGGGAUUUAGAUUAACUUAAAUCUUUUUAUUUAAUUUUACUAAAUCUCUAUUUUCACUCAUUGUUUCAACCGUCCACACUCUCACCCCACUUUGUAUGCUACUUUCUUUUGUUUCCCUAUUCUGCCGUUUUAUCUUCUUUUCUCUUCCUCCUUUCUCCUCUUUGAUUAUUCCUGAAUACUACCAUUUAUUUUGUGAGUUCUGUCACUUGGAUUGUAUUCUGUUUGCAGUGUAAGUUUUAUUUGGUUACUUUUGUUCUCUUCCCAUUAAUAGUUUAGUUUUAUUUCGUUUCUUGAACAAGUUGAGUUUGUGUUGGUAUUUUCUGUUCAUUAUCAUGAUUAGUAUUUUUGUGGUUCUCGAUUAGGCGAAAGGUGUGAGAAUCCUAACCCUCCAGCAAAGUAGUCACAAUUUUUUACGUUGUUUUGGAGAACUAAGUAUUCGAAUUCUAUUUUAGGGGCUGAAAUUUUGAUUCAACGAUGUUAUUUUGGAUAAGUAUUGUUAGUUAAUCCGUGUGGUUUGAUGAACGUUUAUAGGAUUCGUGAGUUCCAAUAGAGCGGUUGAUCAAAUCAGCAAUAGGUGUAUGAAAUUAACCUGAAAACUCAAUCGAAACUCGAGAAAAUUAAGGGCCACACAACUAUGUGGGUAUUUUGGCCAAUUUUAAGCCCCAAUUAGGGGCCGAUUAAAGGACUCAAAUAUUAUUGGGUCCAUAGCAAUCAUAUAAGCCCAAAAAAAAAUGUAAGUUUUAGUAUAUAUAUACAUGGCUAAGCUUAGGAGGUAUGUUAAGUAGGUUGUAUACAAAUCAUAUGCUAUGUUAUGUUCCUUAUAAAAAUAUGUGUAUGCAUGUCAUAUGACUUAUGAUAUAUGUAUUUAUGAUAUUAUAAUUAUGAUUAUGCCUAUGUUUUGGGAUGGGUUAUGAUAUGAUGGAGGAAGUAUUAUAUGAUAGUUUUUACUACAACUAUGGCCACUAGACCAUAAAAUGUCUAUCUGACAGCUUAGUUGCAUAUUUAUGAGUGGCAUACCGUCACAUAUUGGUGUGAUUGGAUGGAUGGACUCUUAUAGUCCUAAUUGGUGAUAUUGCAUGGACGGAGAUGGCAUGUAGCAGUUGGAGGUAUGAUAUCAUAUUAUAUGAGAUAUGAUAGGAUAAGAUAAGAUAUGAAACAUGUUAUAACAUGAUAUGAAAAUCGAUAUGAUAUAAGAUGUGCUCCGAUAUGCUAUAAGAUGUGCUCCGAUAUGCUAUGAUACAUUCUGAUUUUUAUAUAUACGACGAUGUGUGGGUCAAAUCACAUACUGGAUGUUAAGCUCACACCUUUGUUAAUUCUGUUUUAGGUGAUCUUCAAAGUUAGGAUUGGAUGAUGACUAUAGAGCUCGUAUUUCACUCUUUCGGUUUAAGUAUGCAUUGGACUCUCUUUUGUAACUUUUUGGGCUUUUGGAUAUUUUAAAUUUAUUUGGGACGCUAAAAAUUAUUUUGGCAUUUAUUUUUCAAAAGUUUUAACUUUUACCGAUACUUAAAUCAAGACAACUAAAAAUAAACCAUAGUUAUAAGGUAAAUUUGCUAUAAUGCUUUCUGCUGCAAGUUUUAAGGUCAAUUUGCUAUAAUGCUGUCCGCUGCAAGUUUUAUUGAAAUUUGCUAAGAUGUUUUAUCUCACAAACAAAGUAAGUAAAUUAAAUGCAUUUUGGUAAAAUUAACAAAUAUUGCUUACUUCAAUGUAUUCACGGGUUUUCAAAAAUGGUACAUCUUCAACGGGUUAAUUAAACUUGUUUUCUUUUGAGUUAAAUAGUUUUUGCCAAAAUGAAGUAAUAUUGUUUUCACACGCAAUGUAAUCUCCACAAUCUGAUUAUAACAUUUAGGUCAUGUUUGGAUGUUAGAAUUAGAGCUUUAAAAAAUAAUUACUUUUUCUUUUAGAAGUUAAUGUCAUUGUAGGGUUUGAUGGGUUAUCUUCAACUUUAACAGUUAAGCUUCCAAAGUCGAUGAUCCUAUUUAAAUAUAUAAAAAAAAUUUAUAUUUAAAAGAUGUUCUUAUAAGGAAAAAAAGAUGUUAUUUAUGAUUGUUGCAUGCAAUUAUAUUAUUUUAUGAUUCGGGUUAUAUAUGAUUGUUGUCAUGACAUAAAAGUGUUUAAUUAAUAUUUUUAAAGUUUUAAAAAAUAAUAAUAAAUAUUUUUUAAUAAUUUUAAAAUUUAAAAGAUAAGUUAUAUCUAUUUUUAAAACCAUAAAAAUUAUUUAAAAACUAAUGUAUCAUCCGUAACAAAUCAUACAUCAUUAACACAUAUUGGGGCAUGGGAAAGCUUUUAAAAAUUUGAACUCAAAUAGUGCUCUACAUGGUUCAUCAAGGCAUGGCAAGUAAGCGAUAGUUGAUUGCCUGUAUUUCUCUCAUAAUUUGUCACUGCAAAAUCUACUACAUUUCAAAUUAACUGAUGUCAAGUAGAAAACUAAAGCAGAAGAGGAUCAAGUAUUUCCCUCACUAUCUGUUUCAAUGCUAAAAUUCCACCUCUCCUCUCCAACACCUCAUUGGUAGCCUUACUCAUCAUAACCAACACAACCCUUUCUUUUAUCUCGCCACAUAAAAGAAAUUCAAAAUAAUUUUUAAAUUUUUAUAAAUUUGCAAAAAUUUAUAUUUUAAAAAUUUCUAAAAAUAUAUAUAAAUAAAGUUGAAAUUUUAAAAUUUUCUGAAAUAAUAAUUUUAGCACUUACAUAAGUUAAUUAAUGAUUCAAAUUUAUCAAUAUUUAUUUAAGUUUUUUAAUAUAUAUGGUUUUAAAUCUAGAUGAAAUAUUUUAAUUUGACAUGUUUAAUUUUUUAAGUUAACUUAAACAAUUUCACUCUAUUUGAAUUUCAUUUCAUUCGAUUUGAUUUGAAAAAAUUUCAUCUCAAGUUAAGGUGAUAAAAUAAAACCUAUAAACUCGAUUAACUCAAAAUGUUUUCACUCAAUUGUGAGGUGAUUGAUCAUUUUAUUAGUAAAAAGACAUAUAAUUAUUCAUCUAAUAUUAUAACUAUUCAAACAGUAUAAUUCUUUUUAAAAAAUUAAGUGAUAUAAUUAUUGACCAAUGACCAAAAGAUUUAUCUUUAGAUUAAUUACAUCCAUUCAUUUAUAGUUAUUAUUAAAUAAAUAAUUAAAAAACUCCUAUCUAAUUUCAACAAUUAAAAAAAACUUUAAAUUAAAAUUAAAUUAUUAAGAUUCUAAUAAUAUAAAAAACUAAAUUGAAAUUUUUAAAAGGAUAUAUUAAAUAAAUUAAUAAUUUAUAAUUAGAUAAGAAAUAAAUAUUUUUUAUAAAAAAAUAAAAUACUUUAAUUUAAAAGGACAUUUUGGUCAAUCACUUUAAUAGUUUUUGUAGUGAUUAAAAGUUUAAUUGAUACCCCUAAACCAUAACUAAAAAGGAUGGAACCUUUUGCCAGAUUGCUAUUAGUUGUAACAAUCUAAUCUGUUGGCAUCCACCAUUAAUGAUUGAAUAUUGUAGCAAAGACCAUAACAAUUGACUUCCAAUUUUGGUUCUUUUUGUCUUGUUCUUCGUAAUUUUCUUACUGAGUUGGGACUCAAUUGAUGGUUGACGCAAACUCAGUAAAAGGCUUUAACACAGUAUAGAUUAAAAAAAGAUUUAAACUAAAAUUUUUAAAACAAUUUAGGUUAAAUUUAGUUAUUCAAUUAUAGGUAAGUUUUAAUUUUGGUUACUUAACUAAAAAAAUUACAAUUUGAUCACUAAUGCUUUCAAAAUUUUUUUUUUGUCACCUAACUGUUAAGUCAUACUUGUUUUAGUUGGUAUAAUAAUAAUUUCAGUCCUUAAUUUUUUAUAUUUUCUGUCAAUUUGACUCAAUUUUUGUAUAAAAUUAUAAAAAAAACUCAAAAUUAUUUAUAAAAUAGAAAAAUGUAUAUAAAAAUUCUAGAAAAAUAAAAUAUUGAAUAUGUUGUUUCAUAACUAAAUUGUAUGAGAAAUAAAGAAAAUCAUAGUUCAAUAACAUCCAAUAACAAAUUAAAAUCAAAAUAAAAGGAAAAAAAGGUUAAAUUAUUAUAUGUUUCCUGAAUAUUUCUCGAAAAAUAAUUAGGGGUUAAAAUUUACAUGCUUAAAUUAUUAACGAGUCUAUUUUCAAUAGAAACAAAUGGGAACUUCAUCCAAAUUUGUACUAAGAGGUAAUUAAUUUUUAGCAAAGAAUGGUCGAAGUUGUCAGACAAUAGAAUAGGGGUAAGUUUGAAGAUUUUACUGUACUUAUUGGCUAAACCAAAAAUUCUGAAAACUUUAUGGUAGAAAGGUAUCUGAGCCUAUUUCAAAGACAUCAAGUGGAUUUUAAUUCGAAAUUCUGUAGCUCAAGAUAUAAAUAAUUUAGUAGCAGUGACUCAAAUAGACAGUUUUAAAGGAACACAUAAGUAAAUAGUGAAAAACAUAUAUAAAUAUUUAGCUAGCACGAGUUACAUUAAAAAUGGAUCACGCGGCCAAAGCCAAUUUGGGCUGAGUAGGCCACAUGGGCGUGUGAGCCCAUUUUUCUGAAAAGUUCUGUAAGGUUGCACGGGUCGCCCAAGUCAAUUGUGGAUCUACUGUAGGGUCGAUAAGCUCUAUUUAGACCCCUAUAUGUGUGAUUUGUCUGACUGAUUUCUAUACUGAGCAUGACUAUUAAUUGCAUAAUUGCAUGACAUAUUUUGUAUGUUGCAUUGCAUCGGGGUGGGUUGAUGAUAUUUGGAGGAAGUGUCUGAAAGGCUAUUAAGCCUGUUAUCUGGCAGCAUAGCUACAACCUUUUGAUUAUAUGCUGCAUUUCGGUACAGCAUGGUGUGUAGGGAUGUGUGGCUUGAUUUAAUCCCCACAUGGUGUGUAGGGUUGGACGGAGAUGGUGUGUAGAGGCUAGUGGGUAGGAUUCUAAUUUACUGUAUCUGCAUUCUGUAUCUGAUAUGAGUCAAGGCCCUAAUGUAUUUUUGAGACUGUAUCUGAACGGGCUAAGGUCCAAACUGAUUCUGUUGAUUAUCUAUAUGCAUGUUUUAUGUGAGGAUUACACACUGAGUUUGCGAAAACUCACCAGCGGAGGACUCGACAGUGGCCACACGUAAAUUUCGGACUGUUUUCCGUUAAUGCAUAGAAUUUAUUACUUAUUUGAGGUUUUUGAUGUAUCUUCUGGACUAUGGAUUGGUUGGCUUUAAAUUUUGGGAUUUUAUACUAUUUUUUAUGGGUUUUUUUUUAAAUUACAACUCCACAAAACACGGUUUUUUUCUAAAAAAACUAAGGAUUUUCGUAAAUAGAAACGAUUUUCCCUAAAUUAAUUGGUUACAAAAGUUUCCGCUAAGAGACAAAUUUUAAAGCAAAUCAACAAGUUUUUUUUUCUGAAUUAAAUAAAAGCUAACUUACUGUAACGAUUUUUAAACUCGACAAUCUUGUCUUCAAAUCCCUUUCCAUGUGACAUCGCCAGAUUCGGCCAUAACGUCUAGGCCGAGUUUGGGGUGUUACAAAAUUAAUCAUACUUGAUUGGAUUAUGAGAGUGAAUUUUAAUGAAAGAUAAUAUGUGAAGAAAGAAGAGAAAUAAAAGGGAAAUUGUACCAAAAUAUAAAAAUAGAAAAACAAUGGCAGAUUGCUUCAAAUGCAAUAUACGCAAGAAUGUGCUAAAUUGUCUUUUUAAAUCCAAAGUGUGUAUUCAUGCCACAAUUAAAAACCUUUAUAUACCGAUCCCAGAGAAUCAAUUUCACAUGAUUUUACUCCUAGAAUCAUGCUUAACAAGCAACAACUAAAUCAAAAUUUUCUAAAUAUAGAAUUUGUCAAAGUAAAAAAUCUAAUAUUUUUUAUCAACCCAAAAAUAAUUUUGCAACUUUCAAUUCAACCCCCCAACUUGUUUUUUUUUCAAUUUAGCUCGAUCUGUUUGUUUUUGAACUUCGGCACUCCAAUUGUGUCCAUGAUAAAAUUCAGGCAAUAAAUCAUAAGUUUAGUAGAAUUCUAUUAAAAAGUUUACCAAAAUUGGGUAUAUUAAAUAUAUAAAAUUAGGUUGCUAUCAGAUUUGGAACUAAUUAAUAAUAACAUAUGAAAUAUGUAUUAUAUUAAAAUAAAAAUUAGAAUAAAUUGUGAGUAAAACGAAAUCUAAACAAAAAAACACAUCAGAUUAAAAAUACUAAAUGAAUACAAUUGUUUAUCAUUGUUUUGUCUUCAAUCCUGAGUUGGUGUUGUGUUUAUUUGUGACACUAAAUCAAUAACAUUUUUUAAUAAAUAAAAAAUUAGAAUACAUAUAUACUUAUUAAAGUUUAAAGUGAAAAGUAAAAAGUAAAAAUUGCUUUAGUUCAAAAGUAAAUGAAAAAUAUUUAUAUGCAUGGUGUCCUUAGUUCAAAUCUUGUAAUGGAUAAUUUUUUAUUGAUUUAUAAAUAUAUGAAAAGACGAAAAUACCCUCAUAAUCAUAUAUCUUACUUUGCAAAUAAAAUCUUGAAUAUAUUGUUGAAUGGCUAAAUUGUAUGAGAAAUAAAAGCAAUUAUCAUUCAAUAGAAUCCACUAUCAAUUUAAAAACAAAACAAAACCAAAUUAGUAAUAUUAUCAAGUUGAGUUUCAUGUCUUUGAAGCACAUCUAGAACUGAUAUAACAGAAGCUUAUGAAAUUGAGCUUGAUGCCAUUUUUUAGUAUCAAGAAUACAAAAUAUACCACAAAAUUUUAUUACAUUUAAAUUAGUAAUAUUAUUCACGUCUUACAAACAUCAUAUGUAAGAACAACUAUAUUUUUUUGCAGGAAGCCGACUAGUAUAUUUAAUUUCAACUUGUAACAUGUAAUUAGGCAUUCUUAUACCAUACUUUCCCAUUAUUAUGCUGCUGCUGCUGCUGAUGUUGUUGUUACAAUUGAGCACCAAGAUGACUGCAAAACUUGUUAGUAAUGUCCAGAAUGAAUGGAGGACAUGGCAGAUUAGUGAAUUAUUACAGAUUUAAAGAAAAAUCAAAUUGUAAAUCAGCUGAUAGAUACAACUGCUGAGAAUCAAAUACCCAAAAUGCCAACUAUAAUGGCAGAAGCAAAGGAAAAUUAAAAAAAGAAGGGAUUCCUUACUUAAUACUUCUGCCUUUCUACCCACAACAUUCUUUCUUCUUUCACAAAAUUUCAACCAUCCACUCUACCUACUUUUCUUUCAUUUGCUUCUUUCAUUACAUGCUUUUCUUUGCUUAAUAGUUCUGCCUUUCUACCCACAACAUUCUUUUUUCUUCACUGUUUUUAUUUUGUUUUCAUCUCCAAGGUCUAUCACCAAAUUUCAAGCAUCCCGUCAAAGGUAAUUUUCUUUCAUUUGCGUCAUUCAUGACAUGCUUUUCUUUGCUUCAUUCAUGACUAUGCAAUGAUUGUUUUUUAUUAUCUGCUAGCUUUGUAAAAUAGUCAAGUCAACUUCACUGCUUCAUUUUCAGUUCCAAUCUCUCGACACAUUUCAGCCACUAAGUCAGGUAAAAAGGUAAUGAUUUCCUCUACUGAUUAUCAACAGUUUUAGAUUUUAAGACAGUAUAGGAUGACCGGCAAACAUAAUCUAGCAUAGAUAGGAAUCUCAAACUGUUGAACAUUUUAGCUCUUAAUAUUCCGUAAUGAACUGUUGCACACUUGAAUCUAGCAUUUUAUAUACAUUGAGAGGUUAACUCUGGUGACCAGAUUUUCAUCAUGUUUCUGUCUGCCACCUAUCCAUACCUCCAUCUAAUAAAGGCCAUUGCAUUUAUGCUUCCUUUUCAUGCUUACACUAACAUAUAAAAAAUUAUUCAAAAAUCCAAUACACUAACAUAUAUGAUUGCGUUGCAAGGGCAGAGCAAUGGAAUACGUAGAGCCUGUUGUUGGCAUUGCAAAUUGUCUUGGACCUUCUAUUUGUAAAUACUUGAAAUAUCAUAGAAAGCUGAAUGAUUAUGUGAGAAACUUCGAGAGGAUCAGAGAUGAAUUGCAUUGUAAAAUGGAAGACGUAGAGAUGCAAUUGAAAGCAGAGCUUCUUUCUCCUGGGGGAAGAUACCAAAGCAGGGAGUUGAAAAUUGGUUGAAAGAUGCAAAAGAGAUGAUUGCGGAAGCACAGGAUGUGGAAAAUAAAGUCAGAAAUGGGAGAUAUCUCUGUCGUGCUUGGAACGGAAAGCUGGUUGAUGAAAAGACUCGAGAAAUGAAGGAGUUUCUUGAUAAAGCUCUUAAUGCCUCUGAAGGUCUUGCCAUGGUUGGUCCAAGUACUGGGUUGCCACUGCCAACAUCAGAACUAGUUGGGGAGGAAGCUGCCAAAGAAGAGAUUUGGGCAUGUUUGAUGCAAAAGGAGUUAAAAAAGAUUGGGGUUUGGGGGAUGGGCGGUGUGGGUAAAACCACGAUCAUGAAGCACAUCCACAAUGAUCUUUUGAAAGAACAAAGAUUCAAAAGAGUAAUCUGGGUUACCAUAUCAAAGGAGUUCAAUGUAAUGAAGGUACAAGAUAAUAUUGCAAGUGCGUUAGAGGCAAAGGAAUAUUUAGACAAAGAAGAGGACAAGCUCAGACGAGCAGCAAUCUUGUCAGAAAUGCUGAAGAAAGAAGGAAAGCAUGUUCUAAUCCUAGAUGAUGUGUGGGAUGAAGUCUCUCUAGAAGAAGUUGGGAUCCCUGAGCCGAGUGACAGCAAUGGCUGCAAGUUGGUGUUGACAACCCGUUCGGAGCAUGUCUGUAAGUAUAUGGGUUGCACGGUGAUAAAAGUGAAGCCCCUUUCAGCACAACAGGCAUUGACAUUAUUCUUGAGUAAAGUUGGGCCUAAGAUAGUGCAAAAUCAAACUAUAAUGCCUACUCUAAAGCUUGUUGUCAAGGAAUGUGCGGGUCUACCUCUUACAAUUAUCGUCGUAGCUGGUACAUUGAAAGGAGAAGAGGACCCUCUUAUUUGGAAAAACGCACUCAGGGAAUUGAAAGAGAGAAUAGAAAAAGUGGAAGGAGUGGAAGCUAAAGUGAUAGAGCGUUUGAAAUUUAGCUUCGAUCACUUAAAGGAUGAGAAAGUGAAGUCUUGUUUCUUACAUUGCGCAUUAUAUCCCGAAGAUUUUCAAAUUGAAAAGGAUGAACUAAUUGAGUGCUGGAUUGACGAGGGAUUCAUAGAUGAUAUGGGUACAAGACAAGAAAUGAAUGACAAGGGUCAAGUUAUUUUGAAGAAGUUGGAAGAUAAUUGCUUGUUGGAAAAUGUCUCGCGUAAAAGAGUAAAAAUGCAUGAUACAGUGAGAGAGAUGGCAUUGUCGAUCACAAGAAUGAAUCCUCGAUAUAUGAUACAAGCAGGUUUGCAAUUAGAAGAGUUACCAGAAAAGGAGCAAUGGAGUCCGGAUAUUGAGAAAGUGUCACUUAUGUAUAACUCCAUAUCAGAAAUUUCCAUAGAUGUGCUGCCCACAAAAUGUCAACUGCUCACAACCUUGUUAUUGCAGCAUAACCCUAUAAAGAAGAUUCCAUAUUCUUUCUUCAUAAACAUGCCUUGUCUUUGUGUCCUAAAUUUGUCCUAUACAGAGAUCGAGAGUUUACCAAAUUCCAUCUCUGAACUAAAGAACCUCACAACAUUGUUGCUUUGUUGUUGUUAUGAAUUAAGAGAUCUACCAUGUCUUUCGAUGCUUCAAGAAUUGAAGAAGUUGGAUCUAAGUUGGACUAAAAUUGAGGAAGUCCCUGAAGGCAUGGAUAUGUUGAUAAAGCUAAGAUAUCUUGAUCUUAGAGUGCGCACUCUGAAAGAGAUACCCGCUGGACUUUUACCAAAACUCGUUCACCUUCAGCACUUGGGUUUUUAUGAGAACAAUGAAAAAACAAGUCUAAAAGCAGAGGAGUUGGAACCAUUGAAGAAGUUGGAGUACUUUACCGGACGUUUCGAAGACAUCAAUGAAUUCAAUAAGUUCAUUUCCUCAAUGCAACAAAGUAAGAAAAAUCUCAUCAAGUACCAUUUACAGGUGGGCUCAUCUUUUAUGCUUGCUACAAUAGAUAAAACAGUAACAAUUGGAGGAGUCCAGAAUUGGGAAGGUGAGUCAAUUAUGCACCCAAUUGAAAUUCAACAGUUGAAUAUUUCAAGUUGCAACUAUUUGAGAAACUUAGUCGAUGAUAAUUCUUCCUUCAAAAAUGUGAUUGGCUUGAGGGUUUGGGUUUGUGAAGGGAUAGAGUGUGUUGUUUCCCUGUCCUCUUUUGCCUCUUCUUCCACUCAUCCAUUUCAAAGCCUCGAGGUGUUAGAUCUUGGAGAUCUGCCAAAAUUGAGUGCCCUUAUUAUGAAAGAUACAGGAAUUCGUUCAGCAACAACAUCAACAUCGGCUCCGUCUGCCACAUUUUCUCAUCUUAAGGAAAUUAGGAUAUACAAAUGCUCAGGUAUGAAGACGUUGCUUCCACAUUGGUUGCUUCCAAACCUCCAAAACCUGGAACUAAUUUCUGUGGCAGAUUAUGAUGAGUUAGUAGAAAUAUUGGGAGCAGCAACAUCGGAAGUUGAAGAAAAAGGGAGUGAUGCAUUAAUCAAAUUCCAUCUUCCCAAAUUGAGACAGUUGACACUCUGGGAAUUACCAAAUUUGAAGAUCAUAUGCAGCAAAAGUGGAGUGAUGGUUUGUGAUUCUCUCCAACUUAUCCAUAUUACUAGAUGUGAUAAACUGAAGAGAAUUCCUCCAUUUGUUCCCCUUGUUGGCAAUGGGCAGCCAUUUGCAUAUGCUCCACCUUCUCGUACCAUCACGUCAAGGAAAGAAUGGUGGGAAUCGUUGGAGUGGGAUGACCAUCCAAACUUUAAAAAUGUUCUUCAACCCCUUUGGUGGUGAUGUUGAAGAGAAAGAUAAAAGGGUUUGUAGGAAAGGAGGAAGGAUAGUGCAAAAGAGAGGAGAAAAGGAAUGAUGGAAGGAAGAGGUUAAGAGACACCACAUUGUAAACAUUGUCCCUCUCUUACCAUUCCUUCUUUUCUCUUUUUCUUAUAAUGUACAAGCUGAAGAGGUAAGAAAACAAAUAAAUUUGCUUCAUAUUUUUUCUAUGUUUGUUUUGAAAGAAAGAGAAAUAUGGUAGGGUUUAAAAAUAAAAUAUAAUUUAAAUAUCAAUUGAUAAAUUAAGUCUAUUCAAAAUAAUGGUAUUUUAGGUAGCAAAGGUAUAGAAAAUUUAAAGUGAUAAAUUACCUUUUUUUUCAUUAUAAAUAAAUACCAUAAUUUCUUUUUAUGCUGAAAAUUUUUUUGAAAAUUUAUCAAUUUAUAUUGUUUUUUACAAAUAGAAAGGAAAACGCGUCUUAUAGGACAUGUUUUCUCCGAUCUUCCAGAGAAAACAUGAGACACGUUUUAUUCUCUUUCCUAAAAAGCGCUUUGUAGGAGCAACUAAGGACAAUUAAUCACGACGUUCAUGUGUUUCGUCAAUUGUGCAUAAUUUUGAUUGGUAAAAUAACACAUUUAGCCCUUGAUGUUUACAUAUUUUGUUAGUUUGGUCUUGAUUCUAAAAAAAAUUCAACAAAUUCAGUCUCAACAUUUACACAUAUACAAAAAUAUGACAAGCUAAAUUUGUUAUCAUAUCAAUCAAAUUUAUGUAAAAUUGAUGAAAAACAUUAAUAUUGUGAUUAAUUGCUCACUUUUGAAAUUGGUAGGGAUUAAAUUGCUUCGAUUUGUUUAGAGGGCCCAAGUUGCCGAAUAUCAAAAUUGAAAGGGACUAGAGAGGUAGUUUUACCUAGUUUAAUAAUUAAAUGACAUGUUAAAUCUUAUGUGACAUAAUUUAAAAUGAAAAUUAAAAAAAAAAGGAAGAUUGUAAAAAUAGUUGUUAUAAAAAUCAUGGUUUUGAAGUUUUUACAAAUUUUUUAUUGUUCAUUUUUUUUUAAUUUCAGUUUUAUUUAAUUUUAGUUUGUUUAAAAUUUUCAUUUUAAAAUUAGCUAUAUAAAAUUUAACGUGUCAUUUAAUGAUUUUAAUAGUAAAAUGACAUGAUUAAUAUAACAUCAAUAGUUUAGAAAUGUAAUUAGAUAAGUUUGAAGUUUGAAAAUAGAUUUAAAAUAAUGGUCAUAAUUUAGGGGUGGUUGAUUUAAUUAACUCAUUUCUAAUGGUACUAAUAAUUAAGUCUGCUAUAGGACAAAGUGAAAAAGUGGAAAGCAGAGUUAAAAUAUGACUCAAAGACUCACCUUUUUCUAAGUUUGCCAUUACCAAACGAUGAAGCAAAAGAAAUGAAGGGCCAUUACCAGAAUUUCAUCAUGUUUCUGUCUGCCACCAAUCCAUAGCUCCAUCUAAUAAACGCCAUAGCUCCAUCUAAUAAACGCCAUUGCUUGAAACUUGCAUUCAUGUUUCACUUGCAAUCAUUUUCGUGUCCACCUUCAACCAUCAGCCAUCACUCACCAUUGCUUAAGCUAUUUUGCAUUUUAGACCAUAAAUUACUGAGUUGAAAACUAUAGUGUCGUUCUGCAGCCUUUUUUGGUCCAGGCAGGGCAGGCUGGGCUCAAAAAUUUGGGUCGACCUUGAAUAAAACAUUUAAUCCCAUAUUUCAUAUUAGGCCAAGCUUGAGCAAAAAUAACAGUUAGCAAUACCUUGUCUAAGCCUGAGCCAAAUCCGGCCCAUGAGAUAAAGCAUUCAGAUUGAACUACCGGUAACAUUAUGAGUUUUUGGUCCAUCCUUCAUGGGGAUGCAAAGAACAAAAUUAACUAACUUUUGCCACUAUAGAAUGUUUGUUCAACUAAAUAAAAUAAAGAUUGCCCUAUAACUCUAGUUCCAUUCAAGUAAAAACUUCUUCAGGCAAGAUAAUAGUAACAUAAUGCUAAAAGAACCAGCACAACCACCCCAGCAGGAGCUGCCCAUAUCCAAUAGUUCAUCGACUUGGUUCUUUUGGUUCGAUUCCUGUACCUACUAGUAUUCUCCUUUAGUACUUUACCCUUCAUUGAAACGGUAGCAGGAACAGGUGCAUCAGUAUUAACAUCGACCUUCUCGGGUUCUGAAUCUUGUGCCACAGCUUCAAUCAGUUCUUCGAGAUUCACAGCAUUUGUCGAUCCUGCCACCUUCUUCUUAGCUCUCUUUUCACGCUCCUGAAAAAAAGAUCGAAAGAGUUUCAGUUUCAACCCACAAACUAAUAACUGAUAAAGCGAAACUAGAUAAGGAAGCAAAUGAUUUCCUUGAGCUUCUUUUCAGCUUCCAUUUAAGCUCUUCUAGCUGCUUUGGCUGCUGCUUUUUCAGCCAACUUCUUUUUUCUUUCCAUAGCUUACUUUGCUUUUGCUAUUUCCUCUUCUCUCUUCAAUUCUUUCAGUUUUGCUGCAUCGACUUCCUUGUUCUUUUGCAAUUUUUCGGAUACCAAAAUUUCCUCUGCUACAACACUAAUAUCUGACAAAGGAUUCGACUCCAUUGCUAUAGUCUCGACAUGUUUUGGGGCCUUUUUUGCUAGUUUCGUAUCUGUUUGGGGACUUGAUUUGGCCUCUUCCUUUGGUUAUCUUACACUAGGUCUCAGAAUUGUUUCGGUUUCAGAAUCCACUAGUUUCUCGGGUGCAACCAGUGGUUUCUCAUCAAGAUUCCUUAUUCGACCAUCCCGACUCAAUAGCCGACUGUCCAGGGAUGGCAAAAUUUUUUUCUCAUAAUCAUCCCUAAAGGCUUUAUUGCCAUUCCAGAGAGCCAUAACCUUCUCAACCUAAAAUUAUAAAGCAAAUGAGAUACAUUGGAAGUAACAUUAACAAGCAGUCUCAACAAACCUCCACAAUUGAUAACUCCUCAAGAGCCUUUAUAUCUUUCUGUGCAGCAAGUAAUUUGGCGUUGUGUACAAUGGUACGACUCUGGUAAAAGUGAGAAUUCUGAAAUUUUGAGAAAGAAAGUAAUUAAAAUGAUUCAUUAGUAACAUCAUGCACAGGAAUAUUGGAAGAAGACAUAAUAUGUAUCAUUUAAUAUCUUAAGUGAUACUAGUUAUCCAUGCAUAAAUGAAAAUGUUCCGACAUGGUCAAGUAUUAUACGAAACAGAUAUCUUAAGAGUUGAAGCAAAGAAAAGGCGAUACCCCCUGAUCACUUUGUUUCCUCAACUCCUAAAUGUUUUCAAAAGCUUUGUGCCUCUUCAGGGUCACAGCUUUCAGCUCAUUUUGUAAAGUGUUGAAUGUAGUUCCCAUGCAAGAUGCUUCCCAUGCAAAGGUGGCCAUGCAAGAAACAAAGGAGCAGCAAUCAGUCGAGCCACGGUGUGCAGCAACUGGAGCUGAAGCUGUCGAACCACUUGCUGUUUUUAGUUGCAUUUUGAUUAUUUUGUAAUCUAGUUCAUGUUGAACUAAGUAGGUGGAUGUUUUGAUGUAAUUAGGUGCUGAAUGACAAGUUUAGGUGACUUGUUAUGAGUGUUCAAACAAGUUUACCAAGUUACUAGGCAAAUUAGUGGUGUUAGGUAUAUUAUUAGGUGAUAACUUGUUUGUUUUGUUUUGUUAACUCUUAUAUGUAUUGGCAUUAUGCCUCUUUUAAUAGUUAAUGAAAAUUUAGCUCAUUUUUAUUCAAAUUUUAUCUCUUUCAUUCUCUAUUUUCUGUUGCAAAUUUUUCUUUCUUCUUCUGUUGUUUUUGCUGCAAGCCUCGAGGCUUGCUGUCCAAGCAAAGCUGAAAUCAGCUUGCUGCUGCCUCUUGCACCAACAAUUGGUAUCUAGAGCUCUUAUCUUAGUGGACCUGUUGCUUCAAACCAAGGAAUCUGAUGGCUUCUUCAGGAUUUUCACCAGCAGCCCCACUAGUCUUCAAUGGAGAAGGCUUCCACAUAUGGCUGGUAAAGAUGAAGACUUACCUGCAGGCCUUUGAUCUGUGGGAAGUUGUCAACACAGAUUCUGAGCCAGCACCACUGAGGGCCAAUCCCACAGUAGCUCAGAUCAGGCAACAUGCUGAUGAGAGGACCAAAAGGCAUAAAGCCAUGUCCUGCAUUCAGAACUGUGUGUCAGAUGUCAUCUUCACCAGAAUUAUGGCCUGUGAGACUCCAAAACAGGCCUGGGACAAGCUUAAGGAGGAGUUUCAAGGCACUGAGAGGACAAGGCAACAGCAGCUGUUGAAUUUGAGAAGGGAUUUCGAGAAUCUGAAGAUGAAGGAAGAAGAAACAGUGAAGCAGUAUGCAGAUAGAACCAUGGCAAUGGUUAACAGUAUAAGGCUCCUUGGUGAGCACUUUGAUGAGGCAGGAAUAGUGGAGAAAGUCCUCUCCACUUUGCCUGAGAGAUAUGAGGCCAAAAUAUCCUCUCUAUAGGACUCAAGAGAUCUGGCUAGCAUCUCUUUGACUGAACUGAUUAACACCUUCUAUGCUUAGGAACAAAGGAGAGCCAGUAGAGCUGAAGAUCACCAGGAAGGUGCAUUUCAAGCCAAGGCAAGAGAGGCCUCGAGCACCAAUGCUCAAAGAGGCAAAAAGCCUUGGAAAAGUAGGCCCAAGUCUAAUGCUGCAAGGAGCAAUGACCAGCCCUGCAGACAUUGCAAGAGGCCAGGCCAUCCAGAAGACAGAUGUUGGUUCAGGCCAAAUGCAGUAUGUCAACACUACAAGAAGAAAGGCCAUGUUGAAAGGGUUUGCAAAAAAAAAACCAAGCCGAGGCAGAGUCAAUAUCAACAACCAAAGGUUGAAGCUCGAGUAGCUGAGGACAGUAGUGACCAAGAAGAGCAGGUCUUUGCUGUUUCUUGCUUAGCUGCUGAGAAAAAAUGUUCAAAAGGCUGGUUAUUGGACAGUGGUUGCACUAACCACAUGUCACCAGAUGCUUCCUUGUUUAAAAUCUUGGAUAGAAGUUGCAAAACCAAUGUCAAGGUUGGAAAUGGUCAGUUCAUAAGGGAUGAAGGAAGAGGAGAGGUGCUGAUAUGUACUCCUACAGGCAAAAAGGUCAUUCCAAAUGUGCUUUUGGUACCUGAAAUUGACGGAAACCUUCUCAGCAUAACUCAACUGCUUGAGAAGGGCUAUUCCGUUGUGUUCAAGGAUAAAAAGUGUCAGAUUGCUGAUCUAAGUGGAUCAAGCCUUAUGACAGUCACAAUGACUGAUAAAUGCUUUGAAGUUCAUUGGCCAAAUGACUCAAAGUCAGCAUACACAGCCUCUGUUGAUGAUUCCAAGCUUUGGCAUCAAAGGCUCGGGCAUGCCAACUUUAAAUCAAUGGCUCGAAUGGCCAAAGAGGGCUUGGCAGAGAACUUCACCGCUCAGUGGAGCAUGAUGAUGUGUGUGAAGUGUGCCAAAUGGGAAAACAGGAAAGACUGCCAUUUCCCACAAAUUCAGCAUGGAGAGCCAUUGAAAAACUGCAGCUGGUGCACUCUGAUGUAUGUGGCCCAAUGAGGACUGAAUCACUCAGCAAAAACAGGUAUUUCAUCCUCUUCAUUUAUGAUUUUACAAGGUUUUGCUGGAUUUUUUUCUUGAAACACAAGUCUGAGGUAGCUCAAGUGUUUGUGAAGUUUAAAAUGGCCGUUGAGACAGAAACAGGUUGCAAGCUGAAAUCGAUAAGGUCAGACAAUGGCACUGAGUACACUUCAGCUCAGUUUCAAGCCAUUUGCAAUGAUGCUGGCAUCAAACACCAGCUUACAAAUGUCUACACACCUCAGCAGAAUGGGGUAUCUGAAAUAAAGAACAGAAGUCUGAUGGAUAUGGCCAGGUGUCUGUUGUUUGAGAAGAAACUGCCCAAGAUCAUGUGGGCUGAGGCAGUAAACACUGCUGUCUACCUUCAAAAUAGGCUUCCUACCAAAGCUCUUGCUUCCAAGACACCUUUCGAGGCUUGGUUUGGAUUCAAGCCUUCCUUAGCACACCUGAAUGUGUUUGAUUGCCUGUGUUAUGCACAAAUACCAGCAGCAAAGAGGGACAAGCUCUCUGAAAGGGCUCAACCCGGUGUUCUAGUGGGCUAUAGCUUAGUCAAGAAGGGCUACAGGGUUCUGGAUCCCUUGACAAGCAAAGUCCAGGUAAGCAGAGAUGUCAUCUUUAAUGAAAAGGCUUGCUGGAAUUGGGAAAAGAGUGAACCAGAAGCUAUUUUAGAAGACCUGGUGCCUAAUCAAGCUGAACUCGAGCAGCUUGGUCCUGAGAUGGAUGUUGAUGAUGUGCCUGUGAGAGGUACAAGGCCUCUAGAUGAGAUUUAUGAAAGGGCACAGGUUGCUAUAGCAGAACCUAGCAGUUUUGAAGAAGCUGAGGCAAAUGAAGGCUGGAAACAGGCCAUGGUUGAUGAAAUCAACAUGAUUCAAAAGAAGUAGACAUGGGAGCUAGUUGACAAGCCUGUUGGAAAAAAGACCAUUGGAGUAAAAUGGGUCUAUCGAGCAAAACAAAAUGCUGAUGGCAGUCUAAACAAGCUAAAAGCCAGGCUUGUUGUCAAAGGAUUUAGCCAAAGGUAUGGUAUGGACUACCUAGAGACUUUUGCACCAGUAGCCAGGCUUGACAUAGUCAGAAUGAUAGUUGCCUUAGCUGCUCAACAUCAGUGGACCAUUCAUCAGCUUAAUGUGAAGUCUGCAUUUCUCAAUGGUUUCCUGGAAGAAAAGAUCUACAUCGAGAAGCCUCAAGGGUUUGUGAUCACUGGCAAAGAACACAUGGUGUACAGGCUAAAAAAGGCCUUGCAUGGCCUGAAGCAGGCUCCUCGAGCCUGGUAUGCUCGAAUUGAUUCCUACUUGCUCAGUUUGGAGUUUGAGAGAAGUGCCAGUGAACCAACACUGUAUGUGAAGAAAAAUCAAGCUGAGACUCAGCUUAUCCUGUCACUCUAUGUUGAUGAUUUGUUGGUAACUGGAGGAGACAAGAACAUGUUGCAUGAUUUCAAGAGGAAAAUGAUGAAGAUGUUUGAGAUGUCUGAUCUAGGCAGAAUGAACUACUUCCUAGGAAUGGAAGUGAAGCAAACAGCAAAUGGAAUCUUCCUCAGCCAGAGUUCAUUUGCUAUGAAGGUCUUAAACAAGUUCUCGAUGAAGAACUGCAAGCCAACAAGCACACCAAUGGCUGUUGGAAUGAAGCUAUCGAAACAAGAAACUGGUGAACCAGUUUGUGAGACUAUGUACAAGAGUCUCAUUGGUAGUCUACUGUAUUUGACUGCAACAAGGCCCGAUAUCGUGUUUACAGUUAGUGUGCUAUCCAGAUACAUGAAUUGCUACAACAAUCAGCACUUUCAAGCAGCUAAAAGAGUACUGAGAUACAUCAAAGGCACCAUUGAUCAUGGUGUGUUGUUCAAAAGGGUUGAAAACAUGAAGUUAACAGGUUAUGUCGAUAGUGAUUGGGUUGGAUUGUGUGAUGACAUGAGAAGUACAUCCGGAUAUGCAUUCAGCCUUGCUGGAGCUUCAAGAAGUACAUCUGGCCUAAUGAAUCUUGAAUCUUUGAUCUCAUUGCAGCAUUAGCAAUAACUUUCUCGCGGGAUCCCUCCAGGUGUUUGAUUUCUUUAAGGAUUCGCUUCUCCUCACUCAACGAGAUGCUUUCAUGCUGAAUGCGAUAUUGCAAGCUAUGGAUCUGCAAUUCAUAAAUUCCAUUGAAGUGACUAAAGGAGAAAAAGAAAAGCAUUAACUGCGGCAGCAAACAAUGAAUAAAUCUAAAUGCAGUCAAAGUUUAUAGAAGUAUCAUACAAUAAAAUCGAGCUCUUCCUGAGAUGCACAUAAACUAAGUCGAUUAUUAACAUUUUUAUUAUUGCGAAGCUUGCCCAAAGCCUACUGCAGUGGUUCUAUUUCCUUUUUUUUCUCAUCUAAAAUCGUCUUAAAUUGCUCAAAAUCAACAUUCAGCGCUCCCACUUGCGAAAGCAUCUCUGAUCGUUCUGCCUGCAUUAGCAUAAAGAUAAUCACAAUUUAGCCAACUGACAGCGCCAUUAUUUUUUACUUCUUUCACAUUUUUUCUCAAAUUCUGAAGGAAACACAACAAUAACGAAUCAUUAUACCAAUAGCAUAUCUGUAAGUGUCAUUACUUUUCAAGGACAUAAAUUUCAAACAUUCAAAUAAAUACAAAUAGUAACAAUUUAGGGUCAAAAUGUAAAUUUUCAAUUUUUGUAUUUUUUUGAUUUGUUUAUUAUUAUUCUACUAUUAUUAAUAUAUCAUAAAAAUAAAAAAAAUAAAAACACUAAUGGGCUAAAACCCAAACAAGUCCAAAAUUAAACCCAAGUAUACAAUCACAACGGGCCCAAUCAUUUUGCCCAGCCCAAACCCGUAAUUUGGAAAAAAAAUUAAAACACGAAAUCUGAACCGGACAAAAUUUAGUGAUUACAAGUACCCCUCUUUGCUCAUCACUAUGAAACAGGAAUAGAGUAAAAACUUAAAAGCACUGAAUUUUGUUCUAUUAUCCAAUUGUUUUUUCAAAGGAACUUGACUCAUGAUGCAAUUUUGAAAGUAACGAUUACUUCGGAAAAAAAUCCACUUGACAACGAAUUGGAAAUUAAAAUACCUCGGCAAGUAAUAAAAACUGAAAUGGAUUUGGAUGGAACCAAAACUUUGAAAACAAAUAAAAGAGUGAAAUUUAAAAUACCUCGGCGUGCAACCCGGGGCUCAACUCACCUCUCGGAUUAUAAGUUGAUCUUUAAAAAACAACAAUUGAAAAUACGUUAGUGUGCGACCCUAGGCUCAACUCACUUCUCGGAUUAUGAGUUGAUUUUCAAAAAAUAGAAAUUAAAAAUACCUCAACGUGCGACCCGAGGCUCAACUCACCUAUCAGAUUAUGAGUUGAUUUUUGAAAAAUAGAAACUGAAAAAUACCUCAGCGUGCGACCCGAGGCUUAGCUCACCUCUCAGAUUAUGAGUUGAUUUUUGAAAAAUAGAAAUUGAAAAAUACCUCAACGUAUGACCUAAGGCUCAACUCACUUCUCGGAUUAUGAGUUGAUUUUUGAAAAAUAGAAAUUGAAAAUACAUCAGUGUAUGACCCGAGGCUCAACUAACUUAUCAAAUUAUGAGUUAAUUUUUGAAAAACAGAACUUGAAAAAUACCUCAACAUGCGACCUGAGGCUCGACUCACUUCUUGGAUUAUGAGUUUAUUUUUAAAAAAGAGAAAUUGAUAAAUACCUCAACGUGCGACCCAAGGCUCAACUCUCUUCUUGGAUUAUGAAUUGAUUUUUGACAAACAGAAAGGAAAUUAUUCUUGAAAGAGUCAGAGUUUCGAAAAAGAUUAUCAUGUGAAACUCAAAAGCCUUCUUUUUCAUUGAUUCAGUGUAGCUGCCACCAAAGUCUCUUGCUCUACUAGAAUGCCUGUAUAUGUCAUGUAUGAUGUUAUUAUGAUAUGCACGUGUUUGUCGUAAAUGUUUUUAUGCCUACAUGAUCAUGCCAUGCACCUGGACUGUUUGUCACGUGCCCUUUUUUGGUCAUGAUUUUCGUGAGGGUCCACAUUCAUUGCCUCAAUCCUUGACUUUUCUCUCAGAUUUUGUACUUCUCCUCAAGUUCUUGUCAUUAACCCACAUUUCUUCGUAUAUUGCCCUCUUGCCCCCUGUUAAACAUUGCUUUUGCUUCGAAGUCUUCGAUCUUUAAUACUAACACAUCGAGAUAUAUUUGAUGCAUAUGUAUCUAGAACAUUUAUAUCCUUCAACACCAUGCAGAACACUUCUUUCUCUAUAUUUAACAUUGAAAAAAAUAGAAGGCGGCAACCGAUAUUUCCCAUUCGAAAGUGCUUGGGGAUGAAGAAUUUGUCGAAUUCCCAUGUGGACUAAAUCAAGUCAACUCUGAAAAUUAUCUUUCGAUUUUCCAUUGACAUUCAAAAUUGUCCCGAUGAUGUUCUCGCAAACAUUUUUCUCAAUGUGCAUGACAUCAAGAUUGUAGCGUAAAAUGUGAUGCUCCUAAUAAGGCAACUCAAAAAAAUACUUCUUUUUUUCCACAAGUCUGUCUCAUUAGGAUCAUCCUCUUCAUCAGAUUCAUCAUUUGAUCUUCUAUUUCUUUGUGUGUUCGGCAGUUGGUUCAUCAGAUUUUAUUUUUUUACUUCUAUUUUUCCAGAAGUUUCGGUACUAAUUUACUUCUGUUGACUUCUGUUUUGUUUACUUUUGUUUUUUUACUUCUGUUUUUUCGGUACUAAUUUACUUCUGUCUUUUUUUUCCAGAAGUUUGCUUUGAAAUUGAGGAAAUUUAAUGUAUUUAUUCCUAUGUUUCCCUAAUUAGUUUUCUUAAAAAAAACAUCUCCAAUUGUUUAAAUUUUUGUAUGGUUAUGUUUUAGCUUUAUAGUUUAAUUAUUAUUUUUGAGUUUUAAAAAGGAGUUUUAAUUACCAUUUUAGCUUUAAAACCUCUAACUAUCGAUUUUAAUUAUCAUUUUUGCUUUAUAUGUUUCUAGCUCAAUUUGCACGUAACUUCUAGAAAUUUGAGUCAAAGAUCUCUUCACUUGAGGACUCGAGAGAUUUAUCAGCUAUCUCACUGUCUGACCUGAUAAACUCUUUGUUUGCACUUGAGCAAAGGAGAGCAAAUAGGCACGAAUAACAACCUGAAGGUGCUUUCCAAGCAAAAGCCAAUGUAGGCUCAAGUCCAAAUUUGAAAGGCAAGAAGCCCUGGCACAACAGAAGAGACAAACCAAGAAGAGAUGAAGGAAAAGGGGUGUUUCCACCAUGCACUCACUACAAGGAGCCAACACAUUCAGAGAGGUAUUGCUGGUAUAGGCCAGACAUUCAAUGCAAGAAAUAUAAACAGUUUGGCCAUGUGGAGAAAAUGUGCAAAGGCAAGGGAAAGGAGGAUGCUCAGCAACAAGCUCGACCUGCUGAGGACCUUCAAGCUUAGAAGGAGCAUGUGUUCACAGCAUCCUGUUUUGUCAGCACAACAAAGGCCAAAAGUGAUUGGUUAGUGGACAGUGGCUGCUCACACCACAUGGCAGCUGAUGAAAGGCUGUUUAAGGACCUAGACAGAAGCUUUACCUUGAAGAUCAGAAUUGGAGAUGGAAACUUGAUUGAAGCCAAAGGCAAGGGUAAUGUGUUAGUAAGCACUGGUUCAGGUAAUAAACUGAUUACUGAUGUGCUCUUUGUGCCUGAUAUAGAUCAGAUUUUUCUUAGUGUGGGCCAAUUAGUGGAAAAAAGUUAUACCUUAGUCUUUAGAAAUGGUUGUUACAUUGUUCAAGACUCACUUGGUCAGGAACUGGUUACUGUAGCUAUGAAUGAUAGAUGUUUUAUGUUGGAUGUAAGUCAAGUAGAGAGAAAGGCUUACACCAGCCUUGCUGGUAGCACUGAUCUCUAGCAUAGGAGAUUAGGCCAUGCUAAUUUCAGGUCUUUUGAUCUAUUGCAUAGGCUAAAUUUGGUUAAUGACAUGUCUAAAAUUGAAGUUAGUGGCACUGUUUGUGGGGUUUGCCAGCUUGGUAAGCAGGCUAGAUUGCCUUUUCCUACUGAUAAUGCUUGGAGAGCUCAGGAGAGGCUCGAAUUGGUGUAUUCUAAUGUCUGUGGUCCUAUGAAAACUCCUUCAAUAAGUGACAACAAGUAAUUUGUUCUGUUUAUAGAUGACUUAACAAGAUUUUGUUGGGUUUAUUUUUUGAGGCAGAAGUCAGAUGUGUUUAAGACAUUUUGCAAAUUUAAGCCACUUGUUGAGAACCAAUCUAGUUGCAGAAUUAGAGCCUUGAGGACUGACAAUGGCUUUGAAUAUCUUUCUGAUAGAUUUCAGAAGUUGUGUGAAAGUGCUGGGAUUCAUCAUCAACUCACUACUGUCUAUACUCCUCAACAAAAUGGAGUAUGUGAGAGGAAGAACAGAACUGCGCUUGAUAUGGCCAGAUGUAUGUUAUUUCAGAGCAAGCUUCCAAACCAAUUCUGGGUUGAGGCAGUCAACACCUCAGUAUAUCUGCUCAACAGGUUGCCAACUCGAGCAGUCAAAGACAAAGCUCCUUUGAAGGAUUGGCAUGGACUCAAACCAGUGGUAACACACUUGAAAGUAUUUGGUUAUGUGUGCUAUGUUCAUGUUCCAGUGGAAAAGAGAACCAAGCUUGAAAGUAGAGAUGUUCAGGAAUUUUUGUUGGCUAUAGUAGUAACAAGAAGGGCUACAGGGUGUUUGAUCCAUCAACAAAGAAGGUACUGUCAGCAAAGAUGUGAAGUUUGAUAAAGAGAGGGUAUGGAGCUAGAAUGGUGUUGAAGCAGGCUUGCUUGAGGAAAAUCAGUUGGACUUGGUUACUGAACCUACGGAAGAGGGAUCAAAUCUUGAUGCUGUUGAUGAUGCACUAGUAAAAGGCACCAGAACCUUAGCUGACAUUUACCAAAGGUGCAAUGUUGCAGUAGUAGAGCCUACUGGCUAUGAAGAGGCUGUCAAGGAUAAGAACUGGAAGAAGGCUAUGGAAGCAGAAUUGGAGAUGAUCAACAAGAAUUAGACUUGGGAAUUGGUGAACAGGCCAGACCACAAGAAAGUCAUAGGUGUUAAGUGGGUGUUUAGAUCCAAAUACAAUGCUGAUGGCUCAUUGAACAAGCACAAGGCCAGGCUUGUGGUGAAAGGCUACAGUUAGCAGUAUGGAGUUAAUAUCAUGGAGACAUUUGCUCUAGUAGCAAGAUUGGAUACAAUGAAGCUUCUAUUUGCUUUAACUACUUAGAAACAGUAGAAGGUUCACCAAUUGGAUGUAAAAUGAGCAUUUCUGAAUGGCUUUCUCAAUGAGGAGAUUUUCAUCGAGCAACCAGAUGGAUUUAAAGUUGCUAGAGAGGAAGACAAGGUGUACAGGCUGAGAAAGGCACUUUAUGGCCUAAAGCAGACACCAAGGGCCUGGUAUGAUAGGGUUGACACCUACCUGUCUAAGCUCGGGUUUGAGAAAAGUGUUAGUGAAGCUACACUUUAUGUGAAGAAGUCAGAAUAUGAGACAUUGCUGAUUGUUUCUCUUUAUGUGGAUGACUUGCUUGUAACAUGAAGCAAGAGUGAGCUCAUUGAUGAAUUCAAAGUCCAAAUGCAACAAGUAUUUGAAAUGACUGACUUGGGGAUCAUGACUUACUUCCUUGGUAUGGAAGUGCAUCAGUCUGAUCGAGGCAUUUUCAUCAGCUAGCAUACUUUUACCUUGAAGAUUCUUGCUAAGUUUUGCAUGCAAAACUGUAAAACAGUCAGCACACCUGUUGCUCAAGGUGAGAAACUGACUAGUAAUGGAGACAAGGAAAGGGUUGAUGAAAGACACUAUCGAAGCCUAGUUGGUUGUUUGCUAUAUCUAACAGCAGCUAGACCAGAUAUUAUGUUUGGUGUCAGUUUGUUAUCAAGAUUUAUGCACUGCUGUAAUGAGGCUCACUUGAAAGCAGCAAAGAGGGUUUUUAGAUACAUUAAAGGGGCUGCAAAUUAUGGUGUGAUAUUUGAAAGUGGAAUAGAGCUAAAACUUGAAGGAUAUUCAAACAGUGACUGGGCAGGUUCUCUUGAUGACAUGAAGAGUACCUCUGGCUACUUUUUCACACUUGGAUUGAGUGUGUUUUGUUGGAGUUCGAAGAAGCAACAGACUGUUGCUCAGUCCACAGCUGAAGCAGAGUACAUUGCAGCUGUAGCAACUGUUAACCAGGCCAUAUGGCUCAGGAAACUCCUUCAAGAUCUCAAUGAGAAUCAAGUUGAAGCAACUGAAAUUUGGGUGGACAAUCAAUCGGCAGUUGCUAUAGCUAAAAACCCUGUGUUUCAUGGAAAGACUAAGCACUUUAAGAUUAAACUUCAUUUUGUUCGAGAGGCUGAACAAACAAGAGAAGUCAGCCUUGUUCAUUGUAUCCCAGGGGCUCAAUUGGCAGACAUAUUGACUAAUCCAUUAGCAGCUACUCGAUUUGAAGCCUUGAGAAAUGGAAUUGGUAUGUGUUGCAUACAGUCCAAGGAGGAGUGUUGAAAGUUGGCCUGUAAUGCAACAUGGAACCAGUAGCUAACUAUCAUCGAGUUCAGCAACAGCAAAGCAACAUGAAGUGCAGUAUUUGAGUUUGACCGAAUACAACAGUAGCUUAGUUCAUUUUGUUUCAAUGUAAACUUGUUUAGUUACAAAUUUGUGUAAGAAAGUUAGUAGGAUUAGUCUUUGAUUAGUCCUUGAUGUAAUGGCUGAUUGGUCAGCUACUUUUGUGUAUGAUUUUAGCUAUAAUCUAGUCAUGUAUUAGUGGGGGCAGUUAAGCCAUUAGGUAACUGUCAAGUUGAUAUUUUUUGUAACUCCAAUAUAUUUCAAAAUUUGAAUAAAAAAUACUUGUUGUUCAGUUACAUUUUUCUGAGUGUUCAAGCUUGCUUACUGUUUUCUUUUCUUUUGCUUCGAUUUCCAUUGGUUUUUUCUUUGCAAAUUGGUUCUUUUGCUAUUGCCAAACUUCCAACAAGUGUGUUGUUUCCUUGUCCUCUUUUGCCUCUUCUUCCACUCAUCCAUUUCAGAGCCUCGAGAUGUUGGAUCUUAAACAUCUGCCAAAGUUGAGUGCCCUUAUUAUGAAAGAUGCAGGAAUUCGUUCAGCAACAACAUCAACAAUGGCUCCGUCUACCACCUUUUCCCAUCUUAAGAAAAUUUAUGUAGUAAGAUGCUCAAGUAUGAAGACGUUGCUUCCACAUUGGUUGCUUCCAAACAUCUAAAACUGGAAGAAAUUUGGGUGUUAGAAUGUGAUGAGAUAGUAGAAAUAUUGGGAGCAGCAACAUCAGAAGUUGAAGAAAAAGGGAGUGAUGCAUUAAUCAAAUUCCAUCUUCCCAAAUUGAGACUACUGACAUUCUGGGAAUUACCAAAUUUGAAGAGCAUAUGCAGCAAAAGUGGACUGAUGGUUUGUGAUUCUCUCCAAGUUAUCGAAGUUUUUAGAGAUUGUGAUAAACUGAAGAGAAUUCCUUCAUUUGUUCCCCUUGUUGGCAAUGGGCAACCAUAUGCGUAUGCUUCACCUUAUCUUACCAUCUUCUCAAGCACAUAAUGGUGGGAAUUGUUGGAGUGGGACGACCAUCCAAACUUUAAAAAUGUUCUUCGCUUCAACCCCGUGGAGGAUAAGAGGUAUGAACCAUUUAUGGUUUAGUUUAUUUUUUUAUUUUGAUAAAUCUAAUUUCUCCAUAUUAAUAAAAUUUGAAGUAUAUUUGUGAAGAUGUUGAAGAGAAAGAGAAAAGGGUUGGUGGGAAAGAAGUAGGGGGAGGAUAGUGAAAAAGAGAGGAGAAAACGAAUGAUGAAAGUAAAAGGUUAAGCAAAGGUAAAUAAGAAAUAAAACUACCUCCACUUUUUAAACAUUUCCCCCCUCUUACCAUUCCUUCUAUUCUCUUUUUCUUCUCUAAUAUGUACAUAUACUUACCAAAAUAACCUUCUAAAUAUUUAUUAUUAAAAUAUUUAUAUUAAUCAAAAUGAUUUUAGGUGACACAAAACUUAUUUCCAAUAAAAGUUAGGAAAGUAUUGUAAAAAGACAUAAUAUUUUUUAAUUUCCAUGUAAAAUUUUUAGAAACAUUAAGAUUUAAAAAAUAAUAAUUGCUUGUUUUUAAAAAAAUAAUAUUUAUUAAAAAAUAUAAUUGGAUUCAUUCAUAUGUAAACGUAAUGAUAAAGAUUAAAACAAUAAUGUACUUUCAUAAAAAUAUGAUAUUAGAAAUUAAAAGUGGAAAUUAAAUAAUAUAAAUUCCUUUUCUUAAGUAAUAUAAAAAUUGUAGGGAUUAACAUAGUUAAUAAUAUUAACAUAUUUCUAAAAUUAAAUAAUAUUUUAAUUUAUGAGGACUAAAUGUGAAAAUGAAAAAGGUGAAAUCCCUUUUAAAAUAAAUUAAAAACAUUAAGGGGAUUAUGUUGCAAAUAAGCCCUCCACGUUUCCCAUAUAUAAAAGACAUUUUCCUUUUUCUUUUAAUGUGUGAUGGAUAAGUUGGAAAAUAAAAAUAAAAAAAUACUUAGUUUCCUUCCUUUUUUUCUUGCUUCAUUUUGUUGUCCGACUUUUUUUCAAAGCUGAAGGUUUAAAUUUUUUUAGUCUUAAAUACUGAAAAUAUCAUAGGUUCUCAAUAAUUAUGAGUUUGUAACGCCAGAAAGUUUACAUUUUUAAAAUAUCAUAGGGACACAAACGUGUAUCCAGACCGUGUGUGGCUAUGUUAGUGCAGGGUUCACACAGGCCAAGGACACUGGCGUGUGUCCAGGUCAUGUAACACACUGUUUACAAAAUAAAGAUCACACGGGCGGAUGACACAGCCGUGUGUUAGGCCAUGCGGGACACACGGGCAAGCAAACAGGCAUGUGUCAAGCCGUGUAGGACUACACGGGUGUGCGGGCCAGUUUAUAGAAUUUUUUCAUUUCCUGAACUUCGUUUGAAAUGAAUACAAGCCUUCUGUAAGGCCGUAUGAACUGAAUUAAAUUGUAUAAAUUGAUAUUCUAUUAUCUGAAAUUGAGUACUAAUAAUCUGUGUGUGUAUUGUGUAUGACCAAUGUUAAUAGUAUCGAUCUACUGUAUUCAAGCAUGAAUUGUAUCUAAAUAUCCGCAUCUGUAUUAACUGUCAUGUGAAGUCUGCAUAUGCAUUAGGUGGAAAUUGAACAAGAAGGAAGUAUUAUGUUCUGACAUAACGAUUAAAUUAAUCACUGUCAUAUGUACUCUGAUCUGGGAGCUAGACUGCAAUUUCUGAAACGUGUCAGACCGACCCUAUAUGGUGUGUAGGGUUAGAUGGGUAAUAAGUAUCCUAUUUCAUGUGUUAGGNNNNNNNNNNNNNNNNNNNNNNNNNNNNNNNNNNNNNNNNNNNNNNNNNNNNNNNNNNNNNNNNNNNNNNNNNNNNNNNNNNNNNNNNNNNNNNNNNNNNNNNNNNNNNNNNNNNNNNNNNNNNNNNNNNNNNNNNNNNNNNNNNNNNNNNNNNNNNNNNNNNNNNNNNNNNNNNNNNNNNNNNNNNNNNNNNNNNNNNNNNNNNNNNNNNNNNNNNNNNNNNNNNNNNNNNNNNNNNNNNNNNNNNNNNNNNNNNNNNNNNNNNNNNNNNNNNNNNNNNNNNNNNNNNNNNNNNNNNNNNNNNNNNNNNNNNNNNNNNNNNNNNNNNNNNNNNNNNNNNNNNNNNNNNNNNNNNNNNNNNNNNNNNNNNNNNNNNNNNNNNNNNNNNNNNNNNNNNNNNNNNNNNNNNNNNNNNNNNNNNNNNNNNNNNNNNNNNNNNNNNNNNNNNNNNNNNNNNNNNNNNNNNNNNNNNNNNNNNNNNNNNNNNNNNNNNNNNNNNNGCUUGAAUCUUGCAUUCAUGUUUUCCUUUUCAUGCUUACACUGACAUAUCAAUACUUCAUAAAAUAUCCAAUUCAUUCACAGAUAUUCAUUAUCUGCUACUGUUAUAUAUGCUUGCAUUGCAGGGACAUAGCAAUGGAGUACGUAGAGCCUGUUCUCGGCAUUGCAAAUUGUCUCGGAACUCCUGUUUGUAAAUAUUUGCAAUAUCACAGAAAGCUGAACGAUUAUGUGAGAAACUUCAAGAGGACCAGAGAUGAAUUGAAUUGCAAAAUGGAAGAUAUAGAGCUGCAAUUGAAAGCAGAGCUUCUUCGUCCUCUGGGGAAGAUACCGAAGAAGGGAGUUGAAAAUUGGUUGAAAGCUGUGAAAGAGAUGAUUAGGGAAGCACAAGUUGUUGAAAACAAAGUCAGUAACGGGAGAUAUCUCUGUCGGGCUUGCAACGGGAAGCUGGUUGAUGAAAAGACUCGAGAAAUGAAGGAAUUUCUUGAUAACGCUCCUAAUGCCUCUGAAGGUCUUGCCAUGGAUGGUCCAAGUGCUGGGUUGCCACUGCCAACAUCAGAACUAGUUGGAGAGGAAGCUGUCAGAAAUGAGAUUUGGGCAUGUUUGAUGCAGGAGGAGGUGAGCAAGAUUGGGGUUUGGGGGAUGGGUGGUGUGGGUAAAACCACUAUCAUGAAGCACAUCCACAAUGAUCUUUUGAAACAGCAAAGAUUCGAAAGGGUAAUCUGGGUUACCAUAUCAAAGGAGUUCAAUGUAAUGAAGGUACAAGAUAAUAUUGCAAGUGCGUUGGAGUCGAAGGAAUAUUUAGACAAAGAAGAGGACAAGCUCAGACGAGCUGCAAUCUUGUCAGAAAUGCUGAAGAAGGCAGGAAAGCAUGUUCUAAUCCUAGAUGAUGUGUGGGAUAAAGUCUCUCUAGAGGAAGUUGGGAUCCCCGAGCCAAAUGGUAGCAAUGGCUGCAAGUUGGUGUUGACAACCCGUUCGGAGCAUGUCUGUAAGUACAUGGGUUGUAAGGUGAUAAAAGUGGAGCCCCUUUCAGAAGAAGAGGCAUUGAUACUAUUCUUGAGUGAAGUUGGACCUAACAUGGUGCAAAAUCAAACUUUAAUGCCAACUUUGAAGCUUGUUGUCAAGGAAUGCGCAGGUCUGCCUCUUACAAUUGUCGUUAUAGCUGGUACAUUGAGAGGAGAAGUUGACCCUCUUAUUUGGAAAAACACACUCAGGGAAU
Molecule: long non-coding RNA, 32811 nt
Filed under: Gossypium barbadense (sea-island cotton)
Lineage: Eukaryota; Viridiplantae; Streptophyta; Magnoliopsida; Malvales; Malvaceae
Description: long non-coding RNA (GBAR_LNC016696)
Source: RNAcentral